This 403-nucleotide ribosomal RNA is filed under the name uncultured bacterium. Its description in RNAcentral is "partial 16S ribosomal RNA". It matches the Rfam family "Bacterial small subunit ribosomal RNA", at positions 30 to 526 of the family's 1533-position model. The record is from RNAcentral.
AUUGAACGCUGGCGGCAGGCCUAACACAUGCAAGUCGAGCUAGCGGCUGACGGGUGAGUACUGUAUGGGGACUGCCCGAUAGAGGGGGAUAACUACUGGAUACGGUAGCUAAUACCGCAUACUAUCGGAUAACCCAUAUGGGAUUAGCUCGUAGGUGAGGUAAUGGCUCACCUAGGCGACGAUCCCUAGCUGGUCUGAGAGGAUGAGCAGCCACACUGGGACUGAGACACGGCCCAGACUCCUGCGGAGGCAGCAGUGGGGAAUAUUGCACAAUGGGCGGAAGCCUGAUGCAGCCAUGCCGCGUGUAUGAAGAAGGCCCUAGGGUUGAAAAGUACUUUCAGUCGGGAGGCGUUACCGACAGAAGAAGCACCGGCUAACUCCGUGCCAGCAGCCGCGGUAAUUC